UGGGGGAUAUUGCACAAUGGGCGAAAGCCUGAUGCAGCGACGCCGCGUGGGGGAUGAAGGCCUUCGGGUUGUAAACUUCUUUUGCUCUGAACAAGGCGCACCAUGGGGUGUGUUGAGUGUAGGGGUUGAUUAGCGCCGGCUAACUACGUGCCAGCAGCCGCGGUAAUACGUAGGGCGCGAGCGUUGUCCGGAAUUAUUGGGCGUAAAGGGCUUGUAGGUGGCUGGUUGCGUCUGUCGUGAAAGCUCAUGGCUUAACUGUGGGUUUGCGGUGGGUACGGGCUGGCUUGAGUGCAGUAGGGGAGGCUGGAAUUCCUGGUGUAGCGGUGGAAUGCGCAGAUAUCAGGAGGAAUACCGGUGGCGAAGGCGGGUCUCUGGGCUGUUACUGACACUGAGGAGCGAAAGCAUGGGAAGCGAACAGG
RNAcentral lists this ribosomal RNA (419 nucleotides) under bacterium. RNAcentral's name for it is "partial 16S ribosomal RNA". It matches the Rfam family "Bacterial small subunit ribosomal RNA", at positions 355 to 776 of the family's 1533-position model. The record is from RNAcentral.